RNAcentral lists this ribosomal RNA (1371 nucleotides) under uncultured bacterium. RNAcentral describes it as "bacterial SSU rRNA". It matches the Rfam family "Bacterial small subunit ribosomal RNA", at positions 28 to 1381 of the family's 1533-position model. The record is from RNAcentral.
GGUGAACGCUGGCGGCGUGCCUAAUACAUGCAAGUCGAGCGAACGGACGAGAAGCUUGCUUCUCUGAUGUUAGCGGCGGACGGGUGAGUAAUACGUGGAUAACCUACCUAUAAGACUGGGAUAACUUCGGGAAACCGGAGCUAAUACCGGAUAAUAUUUUGAACCGCAUGGUUCAAAAGUGAAAGACGGUCUUGCUGUCACUUAUAGAUGGAUCCGCGCUGCAUUAGCUAGUUGGUAAGGUAACGGCUUACCAAGGCAACGAUGCAUAGCCGACCUGAGAGGGUGAUCGGCCACACUGGAACUGAGACACGGUCCAGACUCCUACGGGAGGCAGCAGUAGGGAAUCUUCCGCAAUGGGCGAAAGCCUGACGGAGCAACGCCGCGUGAGUGAUGAAGGCCUUCGGAUCGUAAAACUCUGUUAUUAGGGAAGAACAUAUGUGUAAGUAACUGUGCACAUCUUGACGGUACCUAAUCAGAAAGCCACGGCUAACUACGUGCCAGCAGCCGCGGUAAUACGUAAGUGGCAAGCGUUAUCCCGAAUUAUUGGGCGUAAAGCGCGCGUAGGCGGUUUUUUAGUCUGAUGUGAAAGCCCACGGCUCAACCGUGGAGGGUCAUUGGAAACUGGAAAACUUGAGUGCAGAAGAGGAAAGUGGAAUUCCAUGUGUAGCGGUGAAAUGCGCAGAGAUAUGGAGGAACACCAGUGGCGAAGGCGACUUUCUGGUCUGUAACUGACGCUGAUGUGCGAAAGCGUGGGGAUCAAACAGGAUUAGAUACCCUGGUAGUCCACGCCGUAAACGAUGAGUGCUAAGUGUUAGGGGGUUUCCGCCCCUUAGUGCUGCAGCUAACGCAUUAAGCACUCCGCCUGGGGAGUACGACCGCAAGGUUGAAACUCAAAGGAAUUGACGGGGACCCGCACAAGCGGUGGAGCAUGUGGUUUAAUUCGAAGCAACGCGAAGAACCUUACCAAAUCUUGACAUUCUUUGACAACUCUAGAGAUAGAGCUUUCCCCUUCGGGGGACAAAGUGACAGGUGGUGCAUGGUUGUCGUCAGCUCGUGUCGUGAGAUGUUGGGUUAAGUCCCGCAACGAGCGCAACCCUUAAGCUUAGUUGCCAUCAUUAAGUUGGGCACUCUAAGUUGACUGCCGGUGACAAACCGGAGGAAGGUGGGGAUGACGUCAAAUCAUCAUGCCCCUUAUGAUUUGGGCUACACACGUGCUACAAUGGACAAUACAAAGGGCAGCGAAACCGUGAGGUCAAGCAAAUCCCAUAAAGUUGUUCUCAGUUCGGAUUGUAGUCUACAACUCGACUACAUGAAGCUGGAAUCGCUAGUAAUCGUAGAUCAGCAUGCUACGGUGAAUACGUUCCCGGGUCU